GAUGAACGCUAGCUACAGGCUUAACACAUGCAAGUCGAGGGACAGGCGCACGGGUGAGUAACACGUAUCCCACCUGCCCUUUACUCGGGGAUAGCCUUUCGAAAGAAAGAUUAAUACCUGAUAUAAAGGAUGGGGAUGCGUUACAUUCGGUUGUUGGUGAGGUAACGGCCCACCAAGCCUUCGAUGGAUAGGGGGUCUGAGAGGAAGGUCCCCCACAUUGGAACUGCGACACGGUCCAAACUCGUACGGGAGGCAGCAGUGAGGAAUAUUGGUCAAUGGGCGUUAGCCUGAACCAGCCAAGUAGAGUGAAGGAUGAAGGCUUAUGGGUCGUAAACUUCUUUUAUAUAAGAAUAUGUAUUAUAUGAAUAAGGAUCGGCUAACUCCGUGCCAGCAGCCGCGGUAAUUC
Molecule: ribosomal RNA, 406 nt
Filed under: uncultured bacterium
Lineage: Bacteria
Description: partial 16S ribosomal RNA
Rfam family: Bacterial small subunit ribosomal RNA
Source: RNAcentral